This 74-nucleotide transfer RNA is filed under the name Rhodoferax sp. TH121. It matches the Rfam family "tRNA". From Rfam's summary of the family: Transfer RNA (tRNA) molecules are approximately 80 nucleotides in length. The record is from Rfam by way of RNAcentral. RNAcentral also lists the same sequence under 1 other name. Lineage: Bacteria; Pseudomonadati; Pseudomonadota; Betaproteobacteria; Burkholderiales; Comamonadaceae.
CGGCGUGUAGCGCAGCCUGGUAGCGCACCUGCUUUGGGAGCAGGGGGUCCAAGGUUCGAAUCCUUGUACGCCGA